Molecule: ribosomal RNA, 253 nt
Filed under: uncultured bacterium
Lineage: Bacteria
Description: partial 16S ribosomal RNA
Rfam family: Bacterial small subunit ribosomal RNA
Source: RNAcentral
AACGUAGGUGGCAAGCGUUAUCCGGAUUCACUGGGCGUAAAGCGCAUGCAGGUGGCACAGUAAGUAGGGCAUGAAAGCUCCUGGCUUAACUGGGAGAGGCUGUCCUAGACUGCUGAGCUUGAGGAUGGGAGAGGGAAGUGGAAUUGCCGGUGUAGUGGUGAAAUGCGUAGAGAUCGGCAGGAACACCCGUGGCGAAAGCGGCUUCCUGGCCCAUUCCUGACACUCAGAUGCGAAAGCUAGGGGAGCGAACGGG